RNAcentral lists this ribosomal RNA (253 nucleotides) under uncultured bacterium. RNAcentral describes it as "partial 16S ribosomal RNA". It matches the Rfam family "Bacterial small subunit ribosomal RNA", at positions 524 to 776 of the family's 1533-position model. The record is from RNAcentral.
UACGUAGGGUGCGAGCGUUGUCCGGAAUUACUGGGCGUAAAGAGCUCGUAGGCGGUUUGUCGCGUUGUCCGUGAAAACUCACAGCUUAACUGUGGGCGUGCGGGCGAUACGGGCAGACUGGAGUACUGCAGGGGAGACUGGAAUUCCUGGUGUAGCGGUGGAAUGCGCAGAUAUCAGGAGGAACACCGGUGGCGAAGGCGGGUCUCUGGGCAGUAACUGACGCUGAGGAGCGAAAGCGUGGGGAGCGAACAGG